This 273-nucleotide ribosomal RNA is filed under the name uncultured prokaryote. Its description in RNAcentral is "partial 16S ribosomal RNA". It matches the Rfam family "Bacterial small subunit ribosomal RNA", at positions 524 to 796 of the family's 1533-position model. The record is from RNAcentral.
UACGGGGGGGGCAAGCGUUGUUCGGAAUUACUGGGCGUAAAGGGCGCGUAGGCGGCUGAGCAGGUCCGGUGUGAAAUCCCUCGGCUCAACUGAGGAAUUGCGCUGGAAACCGCUUGGCUCGAGUACAGGAGAGGAGGGCGGAAUUCCCGGUGUAGCGGUGAAAUGCGUAGAUAUCGGGAAGAACACCGGUGGCGAAGGCGGCUCUCUGGACUGUAACUGACGCUGAGGCGCGAAAGCGUGGGGAGCGAACGGGAUUAGAAACCCGUGUAGUCC